RNAcentral lists this long non-coding RNA (878 nucleotides) under Cricetulus griseus (Chinese hamster). RNAcentral describes it as "lncRNA (ENSCGRG00015041507.1)". The record is from RNAcentral. Lineage: Eukaryota; Metazoa; Chordata; Mammalia; Rodentia; Cricetidae.
CAUGAUUUGUAUUUGAUCUGCGCAGAAUUUGUAUUUGUAAUUCGGACUUCUGGGGAUGACCCUAAAGUCCUGCCCUGGAUGAAAGUCCGAGGGUUGCUUAAUUUGAUCUGCGCAGAAUUUGUAAUUUGUAUUUGAUCUGCGCAGAAUUUGUAAUUGAACCAUAGGGUAAGCAGACUUGCGAGAACCUUGGUUCCACUCUGGAUGAAAGUCCAAGGUUUGGUUGUAAUUUUGGUUUGGGGCACCAUUUCUUUGCCUCGGUUUGUCCUGUCUAAUGUUUGUGCUGUCUAAUGUGCUGUCAUUUGUGUUAUGUGUUUCUUAAGCAUCUCUUUCUGUCCCACAUUGCCCAUGCACGUGGCAUGCAUGGGUCAGGGGUCUUUUCUUGUUGCCCUAAGCACAUGGCACGGGAAAGGAGUUCUGCCAUGUGUCACGGGUUAGAAUGUGUUAUGUUGGAGUCCCCCGAUGCUGCUUUUCUGAACUCGAACCACUGCUGCAGCCCUUACAGCUGAGCCUGGCCCAUGUAGUUUAUAAUGUCAGACAGACUGCCAGAUCUGGACAGUGACCCAAAGUCUCCAAAGAAGAUUACGAGGCACCUCAGUUCCUGCACCUGGACCAGUGAGCGAGAUGCUCAGAUGUGAAACCUGCCGCCUGCCAGAACCUGGCCAAGAAUGUGGACAAAGCUGCUGGGCACUGGAAAAUUGAUUGUACCCCUUUGCCUAGACAAAACAAGGUUUCUGCUUCUGGCAGACAUCUGAGUAUCAGUUGCGGACUACAGGCUGUUCUAAGUAGACUGCGAGCCCUGGACUUGCUGUAGAUGUGAACCAGUCAGCUGAUGUGGACACCCCCUGUCUCUGCAACAGUGUCUGCUAACCAGAAGCCCC